ACGUACCGUACGAACGUUAUUCGGAAUCACUGGGCUUAAAGAGUCCGUAGGCGGCUUUAAAGGUGAGGUGUGAAAUCCCACGGCCUAACCGUGGAACUGCGCUUCAAACCGUAAGGCUAGAGGGAGAUAGAGGAAAGCGGAACUGAUGGUGGAGCGGUGAAAUGCGUUGAUAUCAUCAGGAACACCGGUGGCGAAAGCGGCUUUCUGGGUCUCUUCUGACGCUGAGGGACGAAAGCUAGGGGAGCGAACGGG
Molecule: ribosomal RNA, 252 nt
Filed under: uncultured bacterium
Lineage: Bacteria
Description: partial 16S ribosomal RNA
Rfam family: Bacterial small subunit ribosomal RNA
Source: RNAcentral